GGGCCCGCACAAGCGGUGGAGUAUGUGGUUUAAUUCGAUGCAACGCGAAGAACCUUACCAGGGUUUGACAUCCUGCGAAUCUCUUGGAAACAGGAGAGUGCCUUCGGGAACGCAGUGACAGGUGGUGCAUGGCUGUCGUCAGCUCGUGUCGUGAGAUGUUGGGUUAAGUCCCGCAACGAGCGCAACCCACAUCCCUAGUUGCCAGCAUUUAGUUGGGCACUCUAGCGAGACCGCCGGUGAUAAACCGGAGGAAGGUGUGGAUGACGUCAAGUCAUCAUGCCCCUUACAUCCUGGGCUACACACGUACUACAAUGCUACGGACAAAGGGCAGCAAACUCGCGAGAGCUAGCAAAUCCCAUAAACCGUGGCUCAGUUCAGAUCGUAGGCUGCAACUCGCCUACGUGAAGGAGGAAUCGCUAG
RNAcentral lists this ribosomal RNA (420 nucleotides) under uncultured bacterium. RNAcentral describes it as "bacterial SSU rRNA". It matches the Rfam family "Bacterial small subunit ribosomal RNA", at positions 917 to 1338 of the family's 1533-position model. The record is from RNAcentral.